GGCAGUGUAGCAUAGUGGUUAAGGAGCAGGACUCGUAACCGAAAGGUUGCUGGUUCAAUCCCUGCUAGGACACUGCUG
This is a non-coding RNA of Megalops atlanticus (tarpon), 78 nucleotides long. The record is from the annotation of a GenBank genome assembly. NCBI's taxonomy places the organism in Eukaryota, Metazoa, Chordata, Actinopteri, Elopiformes, Megalopidae.